UCUGCUAAAGUUUUUCUCCCUGCUGAUAUUACCGAGAAGCCUGAAGACUCAAGAAUUAAAUCUGAUAACUUGACUAACUUUGGAAGCGGGACUCUAAACAAAAGUCUUUCUUUGGAUGUCGGUUUAUUUAAAUACUUAUCAUCUCUUAAGAUGUCCAAAAAACGUGUUUUGAAGAAUUCAGAAACUGUGCUAGAGCUAGCAGAUAUCUUCACCCCUUUAACAAUGCUGAAGCAAUUACAGCUCCCAGUCACAAAAGCCCUUUGUCAGGGUACACUGCUUUCUCCUCGAAGCUCCCUCCUGUAAGGUUCCAGCAACCCACAAAUGCUCCAGGGCGGAUAGGAUAUCUACUAACUUAUUCACAAGAAGUAAAGAGGCCAAGUGUUGUAGGUAGUAAAGUAUAAUAACAUUUAGUGUACCAGCUUGAAUAAAAACAAAUAAAAAUACUGCA
Pelobates fuscus (common spadefoot toad) is the source of this 448-nucleotide long non-coding RNA. RefSeq lists it as uncharacterized. NCBI's taxonomy places the organism in Eukaryota, Metazoa, Chordata, Amphibia, Anura, Pelobatidae. The transcript is spliced from 3 exons. The record is from RefSeq and is a predicted model, not a curated record.